UUUAAGAGUUAUGGCAAAGGCUGACAAGGCAGAAAGGCUGUAUGACUUAGAAAUAAAGAAAAUGAACCCUCCUACCAAAGUAUGUCUGGAAGAGUAUAACAUGUUCCCAGAACUGUGUUACCCAAGAAAUAUUGCAAUGCCUGGAGAUGUGGUAAAGAGCUUAUGGACUCACCUGAGAGUGGACGCCUAGCUGUGGGCUUUGUAUGAGCUCAGCUGCAGCAGAACCUGGAGUAGCAUCCUUACAUGAGAAGAGCAAGCUUUGGGAUCACUCGUGUUUCAGAAGAAAACACCUCCAGCAAGUGUCCUGGGAAGGCUGUCAGAGCAGCACUUUGCUGGUGCAAAGGAGGCAGUGAGAUGAUGACCGAGGAGUUACUCAUUCUUUGUCAGAGGUUCCAUGGCUCCUUUUGGGAAGUGGACAGCUGCUUUUCCACAGCAGAAAAUCAUUGCUGGUGUAAAGGCAGGUGA
RNAcentral lists this long non-coding RNA (465 nucleotides) under Anas platyrhynchos platyrhynchos (common mallard). RNAcentral describes it as "lncRNA (ENSAPLG00000030891.1)". The record is from RNAcentral. Lineage: Eukaryota; Metazoa; Chordata; Aves; Anseriformes; Anatidae.